RNAcentral lists this long non-coding RNA (2543 nucleotides) under Sus scrofa (pig). RNAcentral describes it as "lncRNA (ENSSSCG00035050514.1)". The stretch from base 1352 to 1416 matches the Rfam family "mir-155 microRNA precursor family". The record is from RNAcentral. Lineage: Eukaryota; Metazoa; Chordata; Mammalia; Artiodactyla; Suidae.
AUUCCUUUCUUCUUCCUCCUUAAGGUCUAAACGUUUAUUGAACGGAGGCUCAAAACCGAGUUACUGAACUAGGCUUUCAGUAGUAGACACGUGUCAUGUUUAAGAUUUAUUUUAUUCAUUUCCAUCCAUUGUGCCAAAGGACCUGCUCCAGGAAAAUGCUCCCCUGUUGAUAGGUGCGGGAGAGUAAAAGGGAGACGAUGAAGCUAAAUUAAAACUGAAGUCCUUUGUGCUCAGGGAAUAUGACCUUAGAGUGGGAGAGGGGCGGGGAGUGAGUAGAAAAGUCGGCGAAGCAAAAAUAAGGAAGGUUGGGGCCCUGUAACCUAGCAUCCUGAAAUAUCAGCGUAGGUAAGGUAGCAGGCAAGGCACGAAUGCACUCAAAGCCCAGGUGUACUUCCCUCAUCAAAUGCUGGCUCCCGAAGGGUACUGAGGGGAGGGGUCACGCGGGGGGAGGGGGGGUGUCCCUGGAUGGUUUUUUCCUCUUUAGGGACCUGCUUGCCGGAUGAUUCCGUCUCCCACUUGCUUCUCUUCGGCUCCUUCUUUCCCAUCUGCCAGGGGAGCUUAAAGACAUCUCUGCCGCCCAGUUACAAAAAGUGGCAACUUCCCCUCCGGCCCGCAGACUGAUCGCUCAUUUGAAUGCGUUUCCUUUUCAUUAAGAACAAAGGUUGGAGUCCGAGCCUCGCGGCGCGGCGGCCGGAAAGUACAAGAUGUGUGUCGAGAGCAAACACACACACACACACACACACACACACACACAGAAUGACCCACGAGAAAGGGAAAGGGGAAAACACCAAUCCUGCGCUGGGCUUUUUCGACUUUUCCUUUAAAAAGAAAAAAGUUUUUCAAGCUGUAGGUUCCAAGAACCGGCAGGAGGGGGGCGAGGCGGGGUGGGGGGGUGUACAGAAAAGGCGCCUGGUCGGUUAUGAGUCACAAGUGGGUUAUAAAAGGGUCGCACGUUCGCAGGCGCGGGCUUCCUGUGCGCGGCUGAGCCGGGGCGCAGCGCGACGGUCCCAUCGGGCGGCCUCCACCCUCGGGACGCGAGCGGAGCGCCGAGCCCAGCGGCGAUCACGCGACGCGGGGAAGGAAGGAAGAUCUCUCCUUUCAAAGAUAACUAGCCAAAUGAACAUAAUAAACAAGUCCAAGCAGUUGGAGGGGCGGCCGCCACCCCACCGUCUCCAAAUAACUGAUUCGCAUUUCCGAGACGGUUCACCUGAAGCCUUGCCUGCCACCUUGGUUCUCCCACCUGAAGGAGAUGGUUCUAAUGGUGGUGCAAACCAGGAAGGGGAAAUCUGUGGUUUACGUUCUCUGUGCCUCAUCCCUCUCGGAGAGCUGGAGGCUUGCUGGAGGCUAUAUGCUGUUAAUGCUAAUUGUGAUAGGGGUUUUUACCUCCGUCUGACUCCUACAUGUUAGCAUUAACAGGGUAUGAUGCCUGUUACUAGCAUUCACAUGGAACAAACUGCUGCUGUGGGAGGAUGACAAAGAAGUGUGAGUCACCCUGCUGGAUAAACUCAGACUUUAAGCUUUAUUAUUUUUUGUUAAUCAUAAUCUGGUCACUGGGAUGUUCCACCUGAUAGUAAGUCUUUAAGAAUAAGGUCUUGUAAAAGAUUUAUCAACGGUAUCCUGAAAGCAAACUUUUUUACUUUAAUCCUUAAGCCCACAUUUUUUUUAAAAAAAUCUUUAAUGGAAAAUGUAUUCCUGUCCUUUUUAAUUCACAGUUAUGGUUUGUUCAUUAUAACUGUUUAUAAACACUUUGAAUAAUUUAACUAGAAAGAAAUAUAAACACAUUCUGAGUAUCUUUGCAGUUAAAAAUUAGGACUACUAUCCACUAAUUAAUCAUGGAUUGUUGGGAAAUAUGUUCAAAAAGAUUUAGAAAUUGGUAUUUCCCCCAUGUAACAAUUCUAUUUAGACAACUUCAGUUUCAAAUGGAUACUUUUAUAUGAAUCUUAAAGUAGACUUGAAAGGCUAUGGCAAUUAGUUUUUAAAAAAUGAAAGAUUUCAUUCUUUUUUAUGGCUGAGUAGUAUUCCAUUGCAUAUAUAUACCACAUAUCCUUAAUCCACCCAUUCGUCUGUCGCUGGACAUUUAGGCUGUUUCCAUUUGCAGCAACAUGGAUGCAAAUAGAGAUUCUCAUACUAAAUGAAGUUAAGUCAGAAAGAUAAAGACAAAUUCCAUAUGAUAUCAGUUAUAUGUGGACUCAAAAAUAUGGCACAAAUGAACCUAUCUACAAAACAGAAACAGACCCACAGACAUAGAGAAUAGACUUGUGGUUGCCAAGGGGGAGGGAAGAGGGAGUGGGAUGGAUGGGCAGUUUGGGGUUAGUAGAUACAGACUAUUACAUUUAGAUUAGAUGGGCAAUGAGGUCCUACUAUUCAGCACGGGGAACUAUAUCCAGUCUCUUGGGAUAGACCAUGAUGGAAGAUAAUAUAAGACAAGGAAUGAAUAUAUACAUAUGACUGGGUCACCUUGCUGCAAUAGCAGAACUUGCCACAACGUUGUACAUCAACUAUACGUUAAUAAAAAAAUCAAAAAGAUUUUUUAAACUUAGUAC